Molecule: long non-coding RNA, 1611 nt
Filed under: Ursus maritimus (polar bear)
Lineage: Eukaryota; Metazoa; Chordata; Mammalia; Carnivora; Ursidae
Description: lncRNA (ENSUMAG00000005265.1)
Source: RNAcentral
UAGCCCAGCCCCGAGUCUGGCAUCGAGCCAGGGGUCAUCGUGGAGGAGGUGGCACUGGUGCCACACCUUGGAUUGUUGAGGCCCCGAGAAGUUUCAGGCUCAGCCAGGAGCCAGUGAAUGGAGGCUGGCAGACACCAGAGGCUGGGAGAGACUGGUGCCUUGCCCUUCUCACUUCGAGUGCUUCUCUGGACAAGCCUUUGCCCAUCCUGGUCCCCAGCUGCAUGCUCAGCCCCGAGCUGGGUACACAGUGUGAUGACAAGAGAGCCAGGCCUGCUCUGCUCUGCUGGCUACCUGAUUGGAGAGGCAGGGCCUACAGAAACAGCCUGACCGCAACGGGUUUGGUCCGAGUGUGAGGGAGCCAAGCAUGUUUCUCAGGUCCCAGCUCCAGAGUGGGGAUCAGAGUGGUCGAGUGGGGGAGAAGGAAGGUGGCCACCAAGAAGAGUCACUGCAGGGCAGGGAUUCGGGGAUCGAGCUGGGCCUGCCUUCCUGGUUGUCGUUUAGGCCCAGGCCAGUGGGCAGUGGGGAUGGAAAAGCGUGGGGCCUUCUCUGCCUCUGGCCCUGCUCCUGAAGAUGUCUUGGCUCAUUUCUCAGCUCCGUUUUGCAUGCCUGACGGGCUGGGGCCCAGGGCAGCAUGUAGGAGAGCCCUGCUGUUCCUGUGCUUUUUACCAGAGGUUUGCAAACCACCAAUAAAUGUGCUGUUUACAAUGUAUUGAAGAGAAGUGGGGGCAUGGGGGUGGGUUGGGGGGGCCCCCCGAGGCCAUGCCCCUAUUGCCACCCAGGCAAGGACCAGGGCUGGGAGGCUGACGCACCCUUAAUAUAUGCGUGUGAAUCACCCACAGUUCCCCUUCCUGCCAAGGGUUUUAGAGACCCUGGGGCAGGUGCGGGCUCUUCUGUUCCUCUUUGGGGUAGAGGUUCACCAGGAAAGAGAGGGUAUGGGUGUGUCAGGGCUGGUCCUGCAGACACCCUCCCAAGGGGGCAGGGUGGGGAGUCUGAUCACAUUCAGGAGACGAGUCAGGGCUGCUGUUAGCUCCCUGUCCUCUUUCCCCCAGGGCCCCUGUUUCUCCAGCAGAAGAAGGGAAGGAACAGAAGGAACUGGGCCUGGAGGCCCGGCUGGGGCUUUAGCCCUGGGAGCCCGGCGUGGGUUUCUGCUCCAGUGCUUCAGCCCAAACCCCAGGGACCCUGGGAGGGGGACUUUUACUUCUUCAGCCCUAAGAAAUGAAUCUCACUUCCUGGAAAGGCUUGUGAAAAAAGAAACCCACAGAAAUCAGGACCUCCCCUUUGCGAAACAGCCCUGGGCUUGUCCUCUGGCACCAGGCUGUUCCCCUCGGGGCCUCUCCAACUCCCCUGGCACCAGGCCCUGGCAGUUUUUCCCCUUUGUUCCUGUGAGUGCCUGCCUUUCCCCUCCUCUGAACACUUCACCUUCGUACACAGUGGUCUGCAAAUGUGAAAAUCAUCUCCUCCUAUCAAGGCUUUAAGAUGCUUUCUCUGGUCUAAUUGCAUUGGCUGGCACGGAGGAGGGCACUUGGAAGAAGGAAGUGAGAGGUAAGAUCCAGUAGGAAGAGAGAAAGAGGUAGGGGCAGGGAGGGCAAGAAGGGAAUGGGACCUGAGCCU